AGGCUGUUAGUCCAACUGGCAGAGCACCGGAUUCCAAAUCCGAAGAUUAGGGUUCGAGUCCUUGACAGCCUGCCA
RNAcentral lists this transfer RNA (75 nucleotides) under Caudoviricetes sp. RNAcentral's name for it is "tRNA-Trp". It matches the Rfam family "tRNA". From Rfam's summary of the family: Transfer RNA (tRNA) molecules are approximately 80 nucleotides in length. Their secondary structure includes four short double-helical elements and three loops (D, anti-codon, and T loops). Further hydrogen bonds mediate the characteristic L-shaped molecular structure. tRNAs have two regions of fundamental functional importance: the anti-codon, which is responsible for specific mRNA codon recognition, and the 3' end, to which the tRNAs corresponding amino acid is attached (by aminoacyl-tRNA synthetases). tRNAs cope with the degeneracy of the genetic code in two manners: having more than one tRNA (with a specific anti-codon) for a particular amino acid; and 'wobble' base-pairing, i.e. permitting non-standard base-pairing at the 3rd anti-codon position. The record is from RNAcentral. Lineage: Duplodnaviria; Heunggongvirae; Uroviricota; Caudoviricetes.